UACGAAGGGUGCAAGCGUUACUCGGAAUUACUGGGCGUAAAGCGUGCGUAGGUGGUUUGUUGAGUCUGAUGUGAAAGCCCUGGGCUCAACCUGGGAAUUGCAUUGGAUACUGGCAGUCUAGAGUGCGGUAGAGGGUAGCGGAAUUCCCGGUGUAGCAGUGAAAUGCGUAGAUAUCGGGAGGAACAUCCGUGGCGAAGGCGGCUACCUGGACCAGCACUGACACUGAGGCACGAAAGCGUGGAGAGCAAACAGG
RNAcentral lists this ribosomal RNA (253 nucleotides) under uncultured bacterium. RNAcentral describes it as "partial 16S ribosomal RNA". It matches the Rfam family "Bacterial small subunit ribosomal RNA", at positions 524 to 776 of the family's 1533-position model. The record is from RNAcentral.